RNAcentral lists this transfer RNA (72 nucleotides) under Roseivivax halodurans JCM 10272. It matches the Rfam family "tRNA". Rfam says of the family: Transfer RNA (tRNA) molecules are approximately 80 nucleotides in length. Their secondary structure includes four short double-helical elements and three loops (D, anti-codon, and T loops). Further hydrogen bonds mediate the characteristic L-shaped molecular structure. tRNAs have two regions of fundamental functional importance: the anti-codon, which is responsible for specific mRNA codon recognition, and the 3' end, to which the tRNAs corresponding amino acid is attached (by aminoacyl-tRNA synthetases). tRNAs cope with the degeneracy of the genetic code in two manners: having more than one tRNA (with a specific anti-codon) for a particular amino acid; and 'wobble' base-pairing, i.e. permitting non-standard base-pairing at the 3rd anti-codon position. The record is from Rfam by way of RNAcentral. Lineage: Bacteria; Pseudomonadati; Pseudomonadota; Alphaproteobacteria; Rhodobacterales; Roseobacteraceae.
UCCCUUGUAGCUCAGCGGUAGAGCAGCUGACUGUUAAUCAGUGUGUCGCAAGUUCGAUCCUUGCCUGGGGAG